GAUCUUGACUUAACUUUCCUUUGACUUGUUAUUCCUCAAUCCUACUCACCGUCAUCGGAGUAGCUUCAACUCACCAUUAUAUAUACACUCAUAUAUAAUAUCCCUCAUCCAUAUAUUUAAUAUCCCUGCUAUUCUGCUCCUUGCAACACAUUACUGCUAUACUGUACUUGCUUUUCUAAGACGGGCUUCUAAUCGCUUGCUUAAUUUCAGGCCUCAUUUUCACCCAUCUGCACUUGCUGUUUCUUGUUCCGCCUUCUUGAAAAAUAUUAUCACAACUCUGUAGCGCUUUUAUAGACAUGGUCCAGACAUUGGAAGCUAUCAAGGGUGGUGGAGGAUCCAUCAAAGUUGGAACAACUGGAACAAUCAGCUCCCUAAUGUCAAAGGAAUUGGAAUCCAUGAGAUAUGCACCCCGGAAAGCAAUACCAGCAAAAGAUAAAUCUUCUGCAGCUACCAUUCUAGAAUCUGGUGGUAUUACAUCUCCCAAAAGAUUAAGACCACGAUUAUCAGCAGAUGAAGCAAGCAGUAGUAAUAGCAACAAUUUUAGUGAUAGAAAUGGUGACCUUUCAAGGAAAGAGAAACACUACAACAGACGAAGCCAUAAUAUUCCAAUGCUCAACCCUGGUAACGUUUCUGUAGAUGCAACUCCUAUCAGAAAAAAAUCGGACAAAAAGGGACCUUAUUUGGUUGAAAUUGUUGACAUAAAAUGUGGUCACCCAGAUAGGGCAUGGGCAACCCCGCUAGCAAAUCGACUCAAAAAGCUCAGUUUUUCGAAGCUCUCAGAGAGCACUAACUAAACGUGCAAGGUAUUGGUAUCUGCUUUCAGAGACCUAUAACUGAAUCUCGAACUCAUAUUUGGCUGAUUCCUCUUCUCAACAAUGUCCACCAUAGAACACAUGCUUGGUAAGAGCCUGCUGCUUCCUUUCUUCUUUUUAGCAAUUGUAAUCAUGGAGCCAAGUUUUGGCUUCGUACUACCUGCAUCUGUGAGUUUUCGCUCAACGGGUUUCUGUGACAUAAUCUGACUCUUUACUUCUAGCUGCGCAAAGUACUCAAUCUCUUGUGUUACGAGAGAUCCAAAAGUGCCUCUUGUGCCUAUCUGUACUGGUGUUUUCCCCGCCAUUCUCUCAGCAACCGACGAUGUAUUAGAGCUAGAUUUAUACAUCAUCUUCUCUGGGGUAGACCCAAAAGUUCCUCUUGUACCUGUCUGUGCUUGAAGUGAGGUGGUUCGAAGUGGUAUCUUAGUAUGGGAAUUGGCCAUAGGAAGUUUGGUUUUCUUUAUAUAAACGACAGAUCUAUUCUUUCCCUGUGAUGGAUAGGUGGUGAUCUGAUUACUGUGUUCAUGUGUUGGUAGUGACGGCAUUUAAGUUGCUUAAACUCAGUGUGCCAUUUCUAACCACUUGGCAUUCAUAGUAUUGUCCCCCUUCUUUAUCAUGAUUAAUUGGUGUUUUGUGUGAUAUCUUAAAAGCUUCAUAGCUGUUGCUCUGUCUGAAGUUUUUAAAUUUGAAUGUUGGACUGACUUCUGUUAAAUGGAGUAGAGUAGCAUUUAUAUA
Molecule: RNA transcript, 1547 nt
Organism: Daucus carota subsp. sativus
Lineage: Eukaryota; Viridiplantae; Streptophyta; Magnoliopsida; Apiales; Apiaceae
Exons: 2
Source: RefSeq, a predicted model, not a curated record